UACUUUUGCAGGAAAAGGUAGGAGCUUCACUUUUAGCAGACAAGGCGGCGCUACAGUUUUUAGAAGGCAUACAGAACUACAGAUUAGAAGAGAUAUUAUCUGCCACCAACAACUUUUCGGAUGGAAAUCUCAUUACGGAAGGUAGAUUAGGAAAGGUGUACAAAGGACAAUAUUUGCAUUAUGGGAAUUUGGUGAAUUUUGCCGUACGAAGGUUGGAUCGUGAGUACGGGUAAGGAGAUGAGUUUGAGACGGAGAUUUUAAUGUUUAAGAGUCUCCAACAUAAAAAUAUUGUUUCCUUCUUUUGGCUUUGUGAUGAGGAUAAUGAAAAGAUAGGGUGAUUAUUUUGUUUGUAUUAUUGAUGUAUUAUAAAUUAUCCAUGAAGACUGCUACAUAAGGGUGAUUA
This is a long non-coding RNA of Helianthus annuus (common sunflower), 403 nucleotides long. RefSeq lists it as uncharacterized. The transcript has 2 exons. Lineage: Eukaryota; Viridiplantae; Streptophyta; Magnoliopsida; Asterales; Asteraceae. The record is from RefSeq and is a predicted model, not a curated record.